UGAAUACUGUCAACCCUCUCAUAUUGUCACGUCGUGGGAUUAGCUUUUAUUGUUAUUUUCACAGAAUGUUUGUUGGAAAUAGCUUUGUUUACAAUCUUCCAGUAAAAAGUAAAUUUUUCAUGUUUUUUGUUCAGUUUUUGGUUUGUUUUUUAUAUUAAAUAUCAAUUAAAUUAAAUUUAAUUUAAAUUAAAGGCCCCUUGGUAUUGAUGUUUCAUCAAAAAGGAAUGGAAUCAUAAAGAAGUUGUAUUUCACCAUUUUCAUUGCUGCCAUCAUUUCCAUCAUUUUCACCAUUUUCAUCAAUUUCAUCAACUAUCAUUUCUUCAACAACUUCAUCCUCAUCAUUAUAUCCGGCUUUCCUCCAACUAUUGAUGAUUGUCUCUUUUGUAGUCUCAGACCACGAGUCAGUAAGCCAUUCUAAGGCAUCAAACAGAGUGAUGGAUUUGAUGAUCUCUUUAAGAUCAUCUUUAUUUUCAAAUUCAUUGACUAUUCUUGAUAAAAGUCUUUUCACAAAUUUACUCUUGAAAGAUUUUAUGAUUCCACUGUCCAAUGGCUGGAGAAAACAAGUUGAAUUUGGUGGAAGCCAAAAAAUUCAAUUAAUGGAAAAUUUUUUUCAUCAACUUUGUGACCAGCAAAAUUAUCCAAUAUUAAGGCAAUUCUGUCUCCUUUUUUCUCCAACUCCACGUGCCAUUUUUUUAUAUAAUUGAAAAAAAUUUCUUUGGUCAUCCAAGCUGCUUUAUUUGACUCUAAUAAAAGACCUUUUUGAUUUAAA
Tetranychus urticae (two-spotted spider mite) is the source of this 769-nucleotide long non-coding RNA. RefSeq lists it as uncharacterized. Lineage: Eukaryota; Metazoa; Arthropoda; Arachnida; Trombidiformes; Tetranychidae. The record is from RefSeq and is a predicted model, not a curated record.